CUAAAUAAUAAUUAAAUAACUGGACACAAAUAGGUAAGUUCAUUAAAUGAUAAACAUUAAAAGUAGGAUUCAAUUUAAAUAUAUUUAAUUCUUGGUCACAGCUCGGUCACAACAAUAUAUUAAAAUUUUGAUAUAAAACUCUGACUAUAAAUAUUAUGAAUACAACUAAAAAUUAUUCUAAAAUAUAAACUACAAUUUACAGUUUUUCUGUUUGGACGGCUUUGUCUAACUUAAUGCAAUUUACAUCUAUAACAGGACUAUUGACACUAUUUAUGGUAACAUUACAGUUAUUAAAAAUAUAAGUUGACCUAGUUUCAUCUGAUGAACCUAAAACGUCGUUGACAAGGCAGGUUAUUAAAUGAAGCAUUUAUGUUUUCAAUGGACCUAAGAACACCCGCUGAUGGAAUUUUCUUUGAUGUAGAUGGUGCAACAACAAUCUUGGUACAGCUGUAGUUAUAGAAGUUGAUGGUGCGCAGUGGAUCUCUGUCUCUGUAUCAGGAACGAUAUCAAUGGUUUCAGCUUGCUUUGAUUCUUUUGGAAUCUGCUAUGUAACCAGAAGCAACAGUGCUGGACUUCCAUCCAUCAUGUCGUUUUAGCGUAGUCAGGUCAGCACCCGCAUCGACUAACAGAGUUGUUGAGGUUCUCCGGAAGCAGUGUCCAG
This 661-nucleotide long non-coding RNA is filed under the name Nasonia vitripennis (jewel wasp). Its description in RNAcentral is "uncharacterized LOC107981927, transcript variant X1". The record is from RNAcentral. Lineage: Eukaryota; Metazoa; Arthropoda; Insecta; Hymenoptera; Pteromalidae.